Molecule: small nuclear RNA, 21 nt
Filed under: Arabidopsis thaliana (thale cress)
Lineage: Eukaryota; Viridiplantae; Streptophyta; Magnoliopsida; Brassicales; Brassicaceae
Description: snRNA_16596
Source: RNAcentral
GGGUUGCUCUGACGCUCCGUG